UACGGAGGGUGCGAGCGUUAACCGGAUUUACUGGGCGUAAAGCGCGCGCAGGCGGAUAAGUAAGUCGGCUGUGAAAGCCCCGGGCUCAACCUGGGAAUGGCAUCCGGAACUGUUUAGCUAGAGUGCAGAAGAGGAAGGUAGAAUUCCCGGUGUAGCGGUGAAAUGCGUAGAGAUCGGGAGGAAUACCAGUGGCGAAGGCGGCCUUCUGGUCUGACACUGACGCUGAGGUGCGAAAGCUUGGGUAGCAAACAGG
Molecule: unclassified non-coding RNA, 253 nt
Filed under: uncultured Halomonadaceae bacterium
Lineage: Bacteria; Pseudomonadati; Pseudomonadota; Gammaproteobacteria; Oceanospirillales; Halomonadaceae
Description: contains 16S-23S intergenic spacer region
Rfam family: Bacterial small subunit ribosomal RNA
Source: RNAcentral